UACGUAGGUGGCAAGCGUUGUCCGGAAUUAUUGGGCGUAAAGCGCGCGCAGGCGGUCCUUUAAGUCUGAUGUGAAAGCCCACGGCUCAACCGUGGAGGGUCAUUGGAGACUGGGGGACUUGAGUGCAGAAGAGGAAAGCGGAAUUCCACGUGUAGCGGUGAAAUGCGUAGAGAUGUGGAGGAACACCAGUGGCGAAGGCGGCUUUCUGGUCUGUAACUGACGCUGAGGCGCGAAAGCGUGGGGAGCAAAAAGG
Molecule: ribosomal RNA, 253 nt
Filed under: uncultured bacterium
Lineage: Bacteria
Description: partial 16S ribosomal RNA
Rfam family: Bacterial small subunit ribosomal RNA
Source: RNAcentral